This is a non-coding RNA of Paramuricea clavata, 391 nucleotides long. NCBI's taxonomy places the organism in Eukaryota, Metazoa, Cnidaria, Anthozoa, Malacalcyonacea, Plexauridae. The record is from the annotation of a GenBank genome assembly.
CGAACGCAAAACGAAGAAUGGAACGAUACGAAAGGUAUAAUUUGUUUAAUAAAGGAAUUAUAUUGAAUUGUAUUGUUUUCUGGAAUAUUAUUUUGGCAUGUUUAUUUAUAUGAAGGGGUUGACAUUUUGAUUAUAUUUUAUACUAAUUUUAGUCAAAUCAUCAGACAUUUGGCAACAUGUAAGUGAAUUGAUAUAUAAAAGGAAAAGAUCUUUCUGUUGAAGCAACCAUUUCAAUAAGUGAGGAGGGAUAGCAACUUGGAAAUAUCAACUACAGAAAUUUGAUUACUAUAAAAAUCAAGAUUUUGUUGACAUCUUCAGCCUGGUUUACAUAUGCCUGCAUUAUCAUUGUUUACAGCUGUUGAUGCAUACAUUCUUUUGUGAAUUAUUUAGU